Molecule: non-coding RNA, 1625 nt
Organism: Jatropha curcas
Lineage: Eukaryota; Viridiplantae; Streptophyta; Magnoliopsida; Malpighiales; Euphorbiaceae
Source: RefSeq, a predicted model, not a curated record
AAUAAAACGGCAACUUAACUGACAAGGUCCGUUAAUAUUGAGGUGUAAUUCAUCGCGUCACUAUGCAAGGGAAAGACGGCGAUGAAGAACCGUCGGACCGGCAUAUGUCGACGAUAUCUCGGCAUGCCUUCGGCGACGACGAGGAACAACCGGCGUUUUCUAUCUCGAUAAUUGAGAACAUGAAGGAAGAGUAUGGGCUAUUUGUGUGGCCGUGUAGUGUAAUUCUCGCCGAGUACGUUUGGCAACAGAGAGACCGCUUUUCAGGUGCCCGCGUAGUUGAGCUCGGUGCCGGAACUUCCUUGCCGGGAUUAACGGCGGCCAAGUUGGGUUCCGAUGUCACUCUCACCGAUGACUCCAAUAGAUUGGAGGUGCUGGACAACAUCAGAAAAGUAUGCAACCUAAAUAAGCUCAAGUGCAAUGUACUGGGAUUAACAUGGGGAAUUUGGGAUGAAGCUAUAUUCAGUUUAAAGCCAACAAUUAUCCUUGGUGCUGAUGUACUUUAUGAAGCGAGUGCCUUUGAUGACCUCUUUGCCACCUUGACAUUCCUGCUCCAAAAUUCUCCGGGUUCUGUCCUUAUAACAACUUAUCAUAAUCGAAGCGGGCACCAUCUUAUUGAAUUCUUGAUGGUGAAGUGGGGAUUAAAAUGUGUGAAGCUACUUGAUGGAUUUUCUUUCAUGCCAUCCUACAAGGCAUCUGGAUUAAAUGGCAACAUUCAAUUGGCUGAGAUUGUACUCAAUAGCAAAAAUACUGAGGAAACUAAUAGCUUGGUUUAGCAUCUAGUGAGGCAUUCACUUUCAUUGCAUUAUCACUUCUCUGUGGCACAAGAGACUCGCUCUUCCAUGCUAGAGCCAAAAUAUCAGCACAAGACACCACUCCAGGGCAUUGAGCUUCCACUACUUUCUUAGCAUUGUCAAUGACAUAAAAGGCAUGCAAAGAAACAUUAGGUGGCCCAUCUUUCUCUGCCUUGUUGCUCCCUUUUGAAUUUAACAGCACAGAAGCAUCACAGCCCUUGAAAGCCAAAAGCAAAGUAAUCAAUUAGUUUGAACAGUAAGACUGCCAAGGUAAGAAACAUAUAUAGAUGCUUUGUUUUAAUUCUCACCCUUAUGAAACAGUCAUGGAAAUGCAUUCUAAGGAGAGCUGCAGGAACUGUUUUGUCUCUCGUCGCCGCGCUCUUGACAGCAUCUGUGACUAUCAAAUCAAGGUCAGGACAUGUUUUCUCAUAGUAAUUCAAGCUUAGUGCAUUUCCUUGUAAUGAUACUGAAAAUAUGAGAACUGAGCUUAAGAGCAGAGUAAAAAUGGAAGCCAUAGUAAGGUAAGGUGAUAUUGGUUGCUCUCAGCUUCGUUUUUUGUUUGCAUGGGAAUUGAACAACCUAGCGAGGGUAUAUAUAAAUAACCCGAUUUGUAGGAGAUAAGAGCUAGAGUAGAGUUGUUGUUAGCCCCAGAACAUGAAUUAGUUAAGAAGGUGGAGAAAGAAAAUGAUGAAGUAGUAGAUUUUAAGCAAUCCAAUCUUACUGUAUCAAUGCUUCGUGACAAUUUUCUUGCCAUUUGUCUUGUUGCCUGCUGUCUAGAGACCCAUCAGAAGUUGUUUUUUCAGCUUUUUUACCUGUCAGAAGUUGUUUUUUCAA